This 2337-nucleotide long non-coding RNA is filed under the name Salvia miltiorrhiza (redroot sage). RNAcentral's name for it is "long non-coding RNA (SMIL_LNC007825)". Lineage: Eukaryota; Viridiplantae; Streptophyta; Magnoliopsida; Lamiales; Lamiaceae. The record is from RNAcentral.
AAGACUAUCAAACUACAGCUGUCCUAAAAUACAGGGAAUCAUCAAUGGCGCAAGCUAGUUUUGCUCCGCAGAGUGAGAAGAUGGAAACAUUUAGGUUGAUGAGUGGGUUUCUGAUCCCUGCUGUCGGAAUCGGCACUUGGAAAUUAUCUCCAUCUCCUCGACAAUCUCUUCAAACUGCUCUUAUUGAGGUUAGGAGUUCCCCACCAUUCAUGAAUUCAACUCCUUUUGCUUUAUUCUUUAUUAUUAAUUGCAUCAAAUAUUGAAUAACUAAUUACUACUCCCUCCGUCUCAAUUCAGUAGCUCAUAAGCCUUGAACACAAAUGUAAUUUACAAUAAAACAUAAGAGAGCAAGUAACUUUUUUCUGAAGAUAUAGUAUUUGUCAAAAAAUUAAAAGAGAGAAAUAAAGAUUUUCUUUUUAAAUAAAAAAAGAGAUAACUACAUAUGAAAGGGUUUUGGCAAACAAAAUAACAAAUUAUUUCGAGUUUACAAUUUUAACGUGACUUUUGAAGUGUGGCGAAUUAAAAUCCCUCUUUUUCAAUUUUUGCAAUUCCGUCUCUCUCAAUUUUUUCGGUCGCCAGAGUGUUGAAUUGAAGCUUACGUGAAUUAGUAAUGACGAUGCCAUUUUUUUAAGGCCUAAAUGACGCUAUUUUGUACAAUUUCAAUUAAAAAUUUCUCUAUGUUAUAAAGAGAUUGUGUCAUGUAUUUGCACCAUAAUUUUCAAUAUUCGGUAAUUUUAUAGAAAACAACGUCGUAACAUGAAUAUUAUGUGAUCAAUUAAUCUACGUAAAUUCCACUUCAACAAUCCAAAAACCGUAAAAAAUUCGGAGGACGAAAUUAGCAAAAAUUGACAAGAUAGUGAUUUAAUUUGCCACAUUUCAAAAAUCAUGUUAAAAUUACAAAUACAAAAUAAUUCGUGAUUUUAUAUGCUAAAACUCUAAUAUGAAAUGAGUUAUGCGAGAUUAUAUUAUUUGUUAUGUGAGAUUAUUAAUUUUUAUUUUAAGAAGUGANUUAGGGUACGGAAGAAGUAAUAAUUAUUUAUUAUUUAUUAGUAAAUAAAAGGUAGAAAUAACUAAGUUAGGUAGUUUAUUAUUAUAAUUUUUAAUUUAUAUUGUAUCGUAAUUACUAUAAUUAUUAUAUAUAUAUAUAUAUAUAUAUAUAUAAUUGGUGAAUAAAUAUAUGAAUUGUGAUGGCUUAAACAAGUUAAAAUUUCAGUUAGAUCAAAAUUGACAUGACAUCAAAAUUUGACAUGAGGUUAGAAUUUAAAUAAUUGAGGAUAGGGUUUUUUAAAAUUUUGAUACCAUAUCAAUUUUGAUUUGGCAGUGAUCUUAAUAUUUUGUAAAUUUUUGAAGCAAUCAAUGUUAGUGUAUUUAUUUACUUAACUUUAUAAAAAAUGGGAUGAGAUUCAAUGUCGCACAAUUUUAUGUAUCACUGUGUCUCAUGCUUAUAUCUAUUAUUUUAAAAAUAUUUUUUAUAAAAAGAAAAUGUAUUAUAAUAAUAUGAAUUAUGUUUAAUUUUUAUUUCAAAAAAAUAAUUUUUUUUAAAGUAUAUACCAUGACUUUGAAUAUAUCACCCUAUUAUUAGUUGAUAAAAGUGAAAUUAAAUGAUAAUUAUAUCCCCUAACUUGAUGAAAUAAACCCUAGUUAAUAAUCACAAAAUUAAACUAAAGCAUACAAAAUUGAAAUUGAAGAAAAAUAUAUAAAAAAAUAAAAUAAAAAAAUUGAAAGUGGGACACAAAGUGGAAUAUAAAGUGUGGUACACUGAAUCUCAUUCCAUAAAAAGUAUGGGAAAAAUAGAAUUCACAAUUUAUAGCUAAAUAGCCGAUUUUUGAUAGAAUUUUUAAUAAUUGAGGCUAAGGUUUUUAAAAGCUCUGAUACUACCAGAGUUUUGAUUUUGUUGGAAUCUCAAAUUUGUGAAAAUUUUAGAAGUAAUUAAUGUUUGUGUAUUUAUUUACUAAUUCUAUGGAUUAAUUCUAUGGAUUAAUUUAGUUAAUCAAUGUAUGUGUUUAUGAUGUUGAAAACUUGUGAAUGGUUGCUUCACCGUACGUCACAGUGUACUACUAGAGACUUUUCUCUCUCGGUGGAAUCACCUAGAUGGGUUUCAAACCUGCGAAUUAACUCACGUUGACCGGCACACCUCCGUUGCCGACGUUCUCGGUGGCUUCGACCAGGUAGAGCCUCCGGUGCAGCAGGUUCCGACCUCCUCCGUGAGCAGCAGCAGGCGUUCCGUGAGCAGCAGCCGCCGUGACCAGCAAAGGAGUUGCAGCAGCCGGCGUUCCGUGAGCAGAUCUCCGUUGAGCAGCAGCAGCAGUCGGCGUCGUCUCCACCUACGGCCCGUUG